UGCUCUUCUUGGAUGAGUUGCGAACGGGUGAGUAACGCGUAGGUAACCUGCCUUGUAGCGGGGGAUAACUAUUGGAAACGAUAGCUAAUACCGCAUAACAAUGGAUGACCCAUGUCAUUUAUUUGAAAGGGGCAAAUGCUCCACUACAAGAUGGACCUGCGUUGUAUUAGCUAGUAGGUGAGGUAACGGCUCACCUAGGCGACGAUACAUAGCCGACCUGAGAGGGUGAUCGGCCACACUGGGACUGAGACACGGCCCAGACUCCUACGGGAGGCAGCAGUAGGGAAUCUUCGGCAAUGGGGGCAACCCUGACCGAGCAACGCCGCGUGAGUGAAGAAGGUUUUCGGAUCGUAAAGCUCUGUUGUAAGUCAAGAACGAGUGUGAGAGUGGAAAGUUCACACUGUGACGGUAGCUUACCAGAAAGGGACGGCUAACUACGUGCCAGCAGCCGCGGUAAUACGUAGGUCCCGAGCGUUGUCCGGAUUUAUUGGGCGUAAAGCGAGCGCAGGCGGUUUGAUAAGUCUGAAGUUAAAGGCUGUGGCUCAACCAUAGUUCGCUUUGGAAACUGUCAAACUUGAGUGCAGAAGGGGAGAGUGGAAUUCCAUGUGUAGCGGUGAAAUGCGUAGAUAUAUGGAGGAACACCGGUGGCGAAAGCGGC
RNAcentral lists this ribosomal RNA (658 nucleotides) under uncultured Bacilli bacterium. RNAcentral's name for it is "bacterial SSU rRNA". It matches the Rfam family "Bacterial small subunit ribosomal RNA", at positions 79 to 725 of the family's 1533-position model. Lineage: Bacteria; Bacillati; Bacillota; Bacilli. The record is from RNAcentral.